RNAcentral lists this ribosomal RNA (274 nucleotides) under uncultured bacterium. RNAcentral describes it as "partial 16S ribosomal RNA". It matches the Rfam family "Bacterial small subunit ribosomal RNA", at positions 523 to 796 of the family's 1533-position model. The record is from RNAcentral.
AUACGGAGGGAGCAAGCGUUAUUCGGAAUCACUGGGCGUAAAGAGUACGUAGGCGGUUUGGUAAGUCAGGUGUGAAAUCCCGAAGCUCAACUUCGGAACUGCAUCCGAUACUGCCAGACUAGAGUAAUGGAGAGGCAGGUGGAAUUCUCGGUGUAGCAGUGAAAUGCGUGGAUAUCGAGAGGAAGACCAAUGGCGAAGGCAGCCUGCUGGACAAUUACUGACGCUGAGGUACGAAGGCUAGGGGAGCGAAAGGGAUUAGAAACCCAAGUAGUCC